GUGCAUGUCCCAGACUAAGCUUUUCAUAGCGAAUCUGUGAAUGGCUCAUUAUAACAGUUAUAAUGUUAUUGGCUAUCUCUGUUACAUGGAUACCUGUGGUAAUUCUAUAGCUAAUACAUGCUUGCAGACCCAACUUAUUGGAAGAGUUGUUCUUGCUAGUUCUAGAACUAAUCCUGGCUUGCCCAGGGAUUUUGGUGAAUGACAACAAGACAAUGAAUCACAUAGCUUCUGCUGGUGAUACAUCUUUUCAAUUUCUGACCUAUCAGCUUUUGAUGGGAAGGUAUUGGCUUCCUGUGGCAAUGACGGGUGACGGAGAAUUAGGGUUUGAUUCCGGAGAGGGAGCCUGAGGAAUGGCUACCACAUCUAAGGAAGGCAGCAGGCGCGCAAAUUACCCAAUCUUGACAUAAGGAGGUAGUGACAACAAAUAACAAUACAGGGCAUCCAUGUCUUGUAAUUGGAAUGGGCUUAAGCCAAUCAUUUUUGCGAGAACCCAUUGGAGGGCAAGUCUGGUGCCAGCAGCCGCGGUAAUUCCAGCUCCAAUAGUGUAUAUUAAAGUUGUUGCGGUUAAAAAGCUCGUAGUUGAAUUACUGCUGGGGACAACUGGUACGCCUUCUGGGUAAGUAUUAGUGUGUCUCGGGCAUAUUCUUGGGUAUCGCUUCUGCACUUGACUGUGUGGUGUGCUCUCCAGGGUUGUUACUUUGAGGAAAUCAGAGUGCUUCCAGCAGGCAAUUGUUUUGAAUACAUUAGCAUGGAAUAAUAAGAUGAGACUUCAAAUUAUUUUUGUUGGUUUCAAUGAUGAAGUAACGAUUGAAAGGGAUAGUUAGGGGUAUGUGUAUUCAAUUGUCAGAGGUGAAAUUCUUGGAUUUAUUAAAGACAAACAAAUGCGAAAGCAUUUGCCAAGGAUGUUUUUUUUGAUCAAGAGCGAAAGUUAGGGGAUCGAAGACGAUCAGAUACCGUCCUAGUCUUAACCAUAAACUAUGCCAGCCAGGAAUUGGAGGUUGUUACAUGUAAGACACCUUCAGCACCUUCUGAGAAAUCAAAGUUUUUGGGUUCCGGGGGGAGUAUGGUCGCAAGAUUGAAACUUAAAGGAAUUGACGGAAGGGCACCACCAGGAGUGGAGCCUGCGGCUUAAUUUGACUCAACACGGGGAAACUUACCAGGUCCAGACAUAGUAAGGAUUGACAGAUUGAUAGCUCUUUCUUGAUUCUAUGGGUGGUGGUGCAUGGCCGUUCUUAGUUGGUGGAGUGAUUUGUCUGGUUAAUUCCGUUAACGAACGAGACCUUAACUUACUAAAUAGUUAUACAUAAAUCUUUUUAUGUGGGCAACUUCUUAGAGGGACUUUGUGUGUCUAACACAAGGAAGUUUGAGGCAAUAACAGGUCUGUGAUGCCCUUAGAUGUUUUGGGCUGCACGCGCGCUACACUGAUGCACUCAACAAGUGUAGCUUUGCUUGGCAAGGCAGGGUAAUCUUUGAAGAUGUGUCGUGAUGGGGAUUGUUUAUUGCAAUUAUUAAUCUUAAACGAGGAAUUCCUAGUAAACUUGAAUCAUCAGCUCAUGUUGAUUACGUCCCUGCCCUUUGUACACACCGCCCGUCGCUCCUACCGAUUGAAUGAUCCGGUGAAUAAUUUGGACUGCUGUGUUCAUCAGUACGCUGGAAGAUCAGUGGAAAAUCUUAUAAGCCUUAUCAUUUAGAGGAAGGAGAAGUCGUAACAAGGUUUCCGUAGGUGAACCUGCGGAAGGAUCAUUUGCAUGAAUAAAUCAAUUGUUGUAUUCUGCAAGUCUUUGCCAUGACUCUGUUGCUUUGAACUUGGUCAUGGAUGGCUGUCUGUGUUCUUUGUUAAUUUAUUCUGCUCCUUAGCCAUUCAUUGAAAUUGUUACAUUCAGCAAUGGAUGCCUUUACUCAAGCACUGUUGAAGGCUGCUGUUAACUGUGGUAAUCAAAAUGACUUGCAGCAUUCCGUGAUUCAAUUGAAUGUCGAACAUAACUUAUGCUGUAGGGGUCUCCCUUGCAAGCAUAUCUUCAACAUGAGUCAAAUGUUGUGCACAGGCUUUGCUUGUGCUGAUGGUGCAUUGAAGUUUAUCUUCUGAUGAACCUGGAACUGCCUGAUGCAUUGCAGCUGUUUGGAAGUUCUUCCAUCUGUUCGUGCACUCAGCAUGCCCUGAUUCUUUCUGUUUAUGAUGUAGGUAAAUGAACUCAUUGAAUUUAAGCAUAUAAGUAAGUGGAGGAAAGCAAACUAUAAAUGAUUCCUUUGGUAAUGGCGAAUGAAGAAGGAUAAGCUCCAUUGGUAAUCUGCACUUCAUGUGUAGACUUGUAUUUUUAAAAAGCAAUGCUAUUGGAAGUGUGUAUGUAAGACAUGUGGGAAAAUGUUGCAAAGAAGGUGAAACUCUUGUGUGUCAUGCGCAAGCUUUCAUGCAAAGCAUGCUUUUGAAAAUCGCAUUCUUUGGAAUUGGAAUGCAAAGUAGGUGGUAAAGUUCACUUGAAGCUAAAUAAAUGUUUGAGCUUGAUAGUGUAUAAGUACCAUGAGGGAACUGUGAAAAGAACUUUGGAAAGAAAGUUAAAAGUAUUUGAAAUUGCUGGUGGGAAAGCAAAUGGUAUGAUACUGUGCAGUAAGAUUGCAGCUUGCAAGCAAUAGGCAUUCUGUAUGCAAUGCGUGUAGAAUUGUCUGUUGCAAGCACACUGUGCAUCUUGCUGUGCAUGCCAACAUUGAAAUGCAUGUCAAUGCUAACUGCAUGGGUAACUUGCAUAGUGUGUGCUAGAGCCAUGCCUUGAUAUAGCAUGCAUUUUCUUUUCAGUUGUUACCUGGUCUGGACUUCUUCAAGGAUAGACCUGGUUCAAUGCAUGCAUGUGAUUAUUCAUUUGGCCCGUCUUGAAACACGGAUCAAGGAGUCUAACACAUGUGCAAGCCUGUUGGUAAUUCGUUGGGGUGUAAGGAAAGUGACAGCUAGGAUGUGUGCACUGUCAGCCAACUGACCAAUUGUGAGAGGUUUGUGUUUGAGCAUUUGUAUUAGGACCCGAAAGAUGGUGAACUAUGCUUGAAUAAUGCAAAUUCAGGAGAAAUUCUGAAGGAAGCUUGCAGCGGUACUGACGUGCAAAUCGUUCGUCAAAUUUGAGUAUAGGGGCGAAAGACUAAUCGAACCAUCUAGUAGCUGGUUCCUCUUGAAGUUUCCCUCAGGAUAGCUGGAAUUGUAAAGUUUUAUCAGGUAAAGCGAAUGAUUGGAGGAAUUGGGGGUGUGUCGUCCUCAACCUAUUCUCAAACUUUAAAUGGGUAAGGUGUAUUAGUUAUUUUGUAAACUUUUAGGUGCAAUUGAAUUCUAUGUGGGCCAUUUUUGGUAAGCAGAAUUGGCGAUGAGGGAUGAACCUAAUGUUGGGUUAAAGUGCUUAAGUGCUCGCUCAUCAGAUAUCAUAAAAGGUGUUGGUUCAUUAUAACAGCAGGACGGUGGUCAUGGAAGUUGAAACCCGCUAAGGAAUGUGUAACAACUCACCUGCCGAAUGGACUAGCCCUGAAAAUGGAUGGCGCUCAAGCGGGU
This 3526-nucleotide ribosomal RNA is filed under the name Gonyaulax whaseongensis. RNAcentral describes it as "sequence contains 18S rRNA gene, ITS1, 5.8S rRNA gene, ITS2, 28S rRNA gene". The stretch from base 1 to 1746 matches the Rfam family "Eukaryotic small subunit ribosomal RNA". Lineage: Eukaryota; Dinophyceae; Gonyaulacales; Gonyaulacaceae. The record is from RNAcentral.